RNAcentral lists this ribosomal RNA (253 nucleotides) under uncultured bacterium. RNAcentral's name for it is "partial 16S ribosomal RNA". It matches the Rfam family "Bacterial small subunit ribosomal RNA", at positions 524 to 776 of the family's 1533-position model. The record is from RNAcentral.
GACGAACCGUCCAAACGUUGUUCGGAAUCACUGGGCUUAAAGGGCGCGUAGGCGGACCACCAAGUCCGGGGUGAAAUCUUUCGGCUUAACCGGAAAAGUGCCUCGGAUACUGGUGGUCUCGAGUGAGGUAGGGGCAUGUGGAACUUCUGGUGGAGCGGUGAAAUGCGUUGAUAUCAGAAGGAACUCCGGUGGCGAAAGCGACGUGCUGGACCUCUUCUGACGCUGAGGCGCGAAAGCUAGGGGAGCGAACGGG